UGGGGUGUGGCUCAGUGGUAGAGCAUUUGCCCACCCUGGGGAAGGCUCUGGGUUUCACCCCAGCAUCUCAC
This 71-nucleotide transfer RNA is filed under the name Mesocricetus auratus (golden hamster). It matches the Rfam family "tRNA". Rfam says of the family: Transfer RNA (tRNA) molecules are approximately 80 nucleotides in length. Their secondary structure includes four short double-helical elements and three loops (D, anti-codon, and T loops). Further hydrogen bonds mediate the characteristic L-shaped molecular structure. tRNAs have two regions of fundamental functional importance: the anti-codon, which is responsible for specific mRNA codon recognition, and the 3' end, to which the tRNAs corresponding amino acid is attached (by aminoacyl-tRNA synthetases). tRNAs cope with the degeneracy of the genetic code in two manners: having more than one tRNA (with a specific anti-codon) for a particular amino acid; and 'wobble' base-pairing, i.e. permitting non-standard base-pairing at the 3rd anti-codon position. The record is from Rfam by way of RNAcentral. Lineage: Eukaryota; Metazoa; Chordata; Mammalia; Rodentia; Cricetidae.